RNAcentral lists this ribosomal RNA (750 nucleotides) under uncultured archaeon. RNAcentral describes it as "bacterial SSU rRNA". It matches the Rfam family "Archaeal small subunit ribosomal RNA", at positions 147 to 880 of the family's 1478-position model. The record is from RNAcentral.
AAUUCCUCGAUAGGUGAAGAACUCUGAAAUGAGUCUUUGCCAAAAAGACGCUUGCGUUAUGCUCGUAGGCGUCGCCCAAGGAUGAGGCCGCGACCGAUCAGGUUGUUGGUGAGGUAAUGGCUCACCAAGCCUUUUACCGGUGCGGGCCGUGAGAGCGGGAGCCCGGAGAUGGGCACUGAGACAAGGGCCCAGGCCCUACGGGGCGCAGCAGUCGCGAAAACUUUGCAAUACACGAAAGUGUGACAGGGCUAUCCCGAGUGCCAUCCGCUGAGGAAGGCUUUUACCCAGUCUAGAAAGCUGGGGGAAUAAGGAGAGGGCAAGUCUGGUGUCAGCCGCCGCGGUAAUACCAGCUCUCCGAGUGGUGUGGAUGUUUAUUGGGCCUAAAGCAUCCGUAGCUGGCUAAGUUAGUCCCUUGUUAAAUCCACCGAAUUAAUCGUUGGAUUGCGGGGGAUACUGCUUGGCUAGGGGACGAGAGAGGCAGACGGUAUUUCCGGGGUAGGGGUGAAAUCCUAUAAUCCCGGGAAGACCACCAGUGGCGAAGGCUGUCUGCUAGAACGCGCCCGACGGUGAGGGAUGAAAGCUGGGGGAGCGAACCGGAUUAGAUACCCGGGUAGUCCCAGCUGUAAACGAUGCAGGCUAGGUGUUUGGACGGCCACGUGCCGUUCUAGUGCCGCAGGGAAGCUGUUAAGCCUGCCGCCUGGGGAGUACGAUCGCAAGAUUGAAACUUAAAGGAAUUGGCGGGGGAGCACA